UUUUUAAAGUCUGACCUGCCCACUGAAAUUAUUUAAAUGGCCGCAGUAUUCUAACUGUGCAAAGGUASCAUAAUCAUUAGUCUUUUAAUUGAAGGCUGGUAUGAACGGUUGGACRAGGUAUAAGCUGUUUCAUAUAAAUUUAUAAUAGAAUUUUAUAUUUUAGUCAAAAAGCUAAAAUUUUAUUAAAAGACGAGAAGACCSUAUAAAUCUUUAUACUUUGUGUUGUUUAAAUUUUUUAGAUUUAUUUUAUUUUUAUGACUUAAAGUAUUUUGUUGGGGUGAUAUUAAAAUUUGAUGAMCUUUWAWUUGUUUAAGAUCAUUAAUUUAUGAUUUAUUGAUCCAUUAGUAGUGAUUAUAAGAUUAAGUUACUUUAGGGAUAACAGCGUAAUUUUUUUGGAGAGUUCUUAUCGAUAAAAAAGUUUKSYACCUCGAUGUUGGAUWAAGAWAUAUUUUUAGGUGUAGCCGCUUAAAU
Molecule: ribosomal RNA, 471 nt
Filed under: Bactrocera frauenfeldi
Lineage: Eukaryota; Metazoa; Arthropoda; Insecta; Diptera; Tephritidae
Description: partial large subunit ribosomal RNA
Source: RNAcentral